RNAcentral lists this long non-coding RNA (489 nucleotides) under Cricetulus griseus (Chinese hamster). Its description in RNAcentral is "lncRNA (ENSCGRG00015038989.1)". The record is from RNAcentral. Lineage: Eukaryota; Metazoa; Chordata; Mammalia; Rodentia; Cricetidae.
GCCGAGCAGGGAGGGGGCGCAGGCCGACAGACAGGCUGGCGGAGAGAGAGGGCGCUGUCUUCCUGGCAAAGCAGCCUUCGGCCUGCAGGAACCGAAACAAAAAAGGAACCGGGAGGGCCGGGCCGGGAUUUGGAGGAGCAGGGACCAGAGUGGCAGAGCACAUUCUCAGGCACGAACCGCGGGACCUGGGCGUGGGGGUCUUAGAAGGUAGAAGGGCUUCUUUAGCCUUCUAGCCCUUCCUCCCUUGGUCCCUUUCCUUCAGACUCACCAAGACAAGAAAGAUAUACCUAGUGACAGCCAUUCACAGCCAUCUCUGAGCCUCCAGAAACUAGACAAGAUGUGAGAAGAGCAUGCCGGGGCUCCUCCAAUUACCUGUUGGUGAACUAGAAAGUCGGGAUGAACACCUCUAGCUAAACUGUUCUCUCAAGUUCCCAUUUUAGGUAUUUCUACUGUUUGCCCACUGCCUAUUAGGCUGGAAGCUCACUAUAG